UACGUAGGGUCCGAGCGUUGUCCGGAGUUACUGGGCGUAAAGCGCGCGCAGGCGGCGACGCGCGCCCGGCGUGAAAGCCCCCGGCUCAACCGGGGAGGGUCGUCGGGGGACGGCGUCGCUUGAGGACGGCAGGGGCUGGUGGAAUGCCCGGUGUAGUGGUGAAAUGCGUAGAGAUCGGGCAGAACACCCGUGGCGAAGGCGGCCAGCUGGGCCGGGC
RNAcentral lists this ribosomal RNA (217 nucleotides) under uncultured bacterium. Its description in RNAcentral is "partial 16S ribosomal RNA". It matches the Rfam family "Bacterial small subunit ribosomal RNA", at positions 524 to 739 of the family's 1533-position model. The record is from RNAcentral.